CCAUGCAGUCGAACGCUGAAGCCGACAGCUUGCUGUUGGUGGAUGAGUGGCGAACGGGUGAGUAACACGUGAGUAACCUGCCCCUGAUUUCGGGAUAAGCCUGGGAAACUGGGUCUAAUACCGGAUACGACCUCCUGACGCAUGUUGGGUGGUGGAAAGUUUUUCGAUCGGGGAUGGGCUCGCGGCCUAUCAGCUUGUUGGUGGGGUAAUGGCCUACCAAGGCGACGACGGGUAGCCGGCCUGAGAGGGCGACCGGCCACACUGGGACUGAGACACGGCCCAGACUCCUACGGGAGGCAGCAGUGGGGAAUAUUGCACAAUGGGGGAAACCCUGAUGCAGCGACGCAGCGUGCGGGAUGACGGCCUUCGGGUUGUAAACCGCUUUCAGCAGGGAAGAAGCGAAAGUGACGGUACCUGCAGAAGAAGUACCGGCUAACUACGUGCCAGCAGCCGCGGUAAUACGUAGGGUACGAGCGUUGUCCGGAAUUAUUGGGCGUAAAGAGCUCGUAGGUGGUUGGUCACGUCUGCUGUGGAAACGCAACGCUUAACGUUGCGCGUGCAGUGGGUACGGGCUGACUAGAGUGCAGUAGGGGAGUCUGGAAUUCCUGGUGUAGCGGUGAAAUGCGCAGAUAUCAGGAGGAACACCGGUGGCGAAGGCGGGACUCUGGGCUGUAACUGACACUGAGGAGCGAAAGCAUGGGGAGCGAACAGGAUUAGAUACCCUGGUAGUCCAUGCCGUAAACGUUGGGCACUAGGUGUGGGGGACAUUCCACGUUCUCCGCGCCGUAGCUAA
This 793-nucleotide ribosomal RNA is filed under the name Brevibacterium sp. N73_2. RNAcentral's name for it is "bacterial SSU rRNA". It matches the Rfam family "Bacterial small subunit ribosomal RNA", at positions 53 to 855 of the family's 1533-position model. Lineage: Bacteria; Bacillati; Actinomycetota; Actinomycetes; Micrococcales; Brevibacteriaceae. The record is from RNAcentral.